This 497-nucleotide ribosomal RNA is filed under the name uncultured bacterium. RNAcentral describes it as "partial 16S ribosomal RNA". It matches the Rfam family "Bacterial small subunit ribosomal RNA", at positions 28 to 507 of the family's 1533-position model. The record is from RNAcentral.
GAUGAACGCUGGCGGCGUGCCUAAUACAUGCAAGUCGAGCGAACAGACGAGGAGCUUGCUCCUCUGACGUUAGCGGCGGACGGGUGAGUAACACGUGGAUAACCUACCUAUAAGACUGGGAUAACUUCGGGAAACCGGAGCUAAUACCGGAUAAUAUAUUGAACCGCAUGGUUCAAUAGUGAAAGACGGUUUUGCUGUCACUUAUAGAUGGAUCCGCGCCGCAUUAGCUAGUUGGUAAGGUAACAGCUUACCAAGGCAACGAUGCGUAGCCGACCUGAGAGGGUGAUCGGCCACACUGGAACUGAGACACGGUCCAGACUCCUACGGGAGGCAGCAGUAGGGAAUCUUCCGCAAUGGGCGAAAGCCUGACGGAGCAACGCCGCGUGAGUGAUGAAGGUCUUCGGAUCGUAAAACUCUGUUAUUAGGGAAGAACAAAUGUGUAAGAAACUAUGCACGUCUUGACGGUACCUAAUCAGAAAGCCACGGCUAACUACGUG